This 107-nucleotide ribosomal RNA is filed under the name Salvator merianae (Argentine black and white tegu). The record is from RNAcentral. Lineage: Eukaryota; Metazoa; Chordata; Lepidosauria; Squamata; Teiidae.
CCUUAGGCUGCCCCUCACUAAUCUUGUCUGAUGUCAGAAGAUAAGCAAGGCUGGGCCUGGUCAGGACUUGGAUGGGAGACCACCAAGAAAUCCCAGAAUUGUAGGGU